Long non-coding RNA from Cervus elaphus (red deer), 2540 nucleotides. RefSeq lists it as uncharacterized. The record is from RefSeq and is a predicted model, not a curated record. The transcript is spliced from 3 exons. NCBI's taxonomy places the organism in Eukaryota, Metazoa, Chordata, Mammalia, Artiodactyla, Cervidae.
AGAAGAACGAACGAAGGAAAAAGGUGUUAGGUGGUGUUUUUUUUCACCUGUCAAAUUUUCUGCAGGAGGCAGUGUGGUGAAAAGCAAAAAGCCGCUGGAGUUCAGGGAGACUUGGAUUCUAGUCGCAGGGCUGCGACUAACUCACUGGAUGACCUUAGGCAACCCCUGCCUCUUCUUGGACCUCGAUUUCCUCAACAGCUCUAGAAAGUGAUUGCAAAAAAAUAAUUUCCCAGAGUCCUGGUAGUUCCGGCAUUCUAUGACCCAAAGACCGGCUAUCAGCAAUCUCCCAGCAGGGCUCCCGCAACUGCCGGGUCACCUCCCCGCGAUGUCUGGACCACUGUAGAGAGCGCAGCAGAAGCCCUAGGUGAUCCUUCCCAUCUCGGGACCUGUUCCCACACCUGUCAAACAGGAUGGGGAGGUCAAAGGAGACAGCACGAAGAACACCCCUCAUCCGGGAGGGGUGCCCACAACGCACCGCAGCUGCCACCGGGGAGUCGAGGAGACUAGGACUCGCAGCCCAGGCCGGUCGGUGCCAGACCCGGAGCAUCUGCUAAACCCAGAGGAAGGCGACUUGGGUCCAGCAGAAGGCGACCACCCGCCGCCAGCCCCAGCCCAUCAGCGCGCGGACUUACCGCUUGAGUUCCGACUCCAGCUCUGGCUCCCACGUCGGUGCAGCAGCCCACCAGUCCACCAGUUUCUGCCUCAGCUCGAAGCCCUAGCCAUCCCCACCCUCCACUGCCCAAGCAGCCGCUUCCGGGCCCGUCACGUGACCCAGGCGCUCAAACCCUAGGCCCGGGUCACGUGCUCCCGCGGGCGGCUACGCCUCCCCUCUCGUGGGCUCGGCUUCGCAGCACCACCUGGCGACUGGGAACUGAAACUGCGGGAACGACGGUACUCUGGGAGUUGGGACUCAGCCGGGCGUCGAACAUCUGAGCACCAGGCGCGAGCCCGCCGUCGCAGAGCACAGUCACCUGAGCUGUGGGUUUGUGGGAAGGUGGCUCCGUUUUCCGCCGGACUUUCUUUAAGACGUUUCAAUGAGCAUAUGUUGCUUUUAUGAAUGAGAAAUAAUACAUCUUUUCAAAACUUUAGUCAUAUUUUUAAACUUCUACCAAACAUGUGGUGGCGACCGGAAGUGGGACUCUUGAGGAGGGAAGCAGGAAGGUCAGAGAAGAGAGAAGAUGCUACUCUACUGGCUUUGAAGAUGGAGGAAGGGGUCACAGGCCAAGGGAGUACAGGUAGCCUUUAGAAACUGGAAAAGCAAGGAAGCAGAUUCUUCCUAGAGUCUCCAGAAAGAACACAGCCCUGCCAGCAUCUUGAUUUUAAGACUUCUGACCUCCAACACCACCAGGUGACUGAAACAGCCAAUGGGACUGCCAGGACAGAUGGAUCAAGACACCUCUGGAUGUGAGUCCUCAGCAUCUACGCAGUGUGGGCACUUCCCUUCCUGGUGCUGCUGUAUUCAUCUUGUACUUCUGAGCCGUGUUGACAAUGCUCAGUGCUAGCCAAGGUCCUCCUCAUCUUCCAGCAGGCAAGCUCCUCACCCCAGGCCAUCACCUGACAUGACUGAGCAACUAACACUCUCAUAUGUUUUUUAUAUAUAUCUGUAUUGACAUAUGUACAGGAUUGCCAUACAGAAAAUUUCUUCCACUGUGUUCCUAAUAGAACAGUUCUCUAUUUUUUAAUGCCCAAACUUCAUAGAAUAAAUGUAUCUAUCCCACUAUAAUUUUUCUGUACAGUGUUUGUUUAGGAAGCUUUUAUAGUUAUAUCCCCAGAACACUACAGCAGGUUUAACAAAACAAUCUGCAAGAAACAUCUUGAGGUUUUUCUUACAUUGUCUUACAUUCCAGACACAGCCAAAUGUUAGAAUCCCACACAGACAACUUAGAACUCAGAACAAAUGUCAGCAAAGAGGAUAUGGAAGAUGUUAUGGUAGACAAGCAACUUUUUGUAACAAGCAGGUUAAUUUGUGUUCAGUAUCACAUUGCAAGCAUUUAUAACCUAACAUCAGUUAAUUACUUACAUAUAGACAUGCUAUGGGGUCGCACCGAGUUGAACAGGACUGAAGCAACUUAGCAGCAGCAGCAGCAAUGUUAUUAUCUUAGGUAUGUUUCAAAAUUUGCAACUAACACCUGGCUAAUUAAAAAAAAAUAUUUUCUAAAAAACAUUUUCAAAGUAAAUUUAAAAAGGCAAUUCAAGUGUUAAACAGGGUAAUGAUAUGUUUAAAUGAGAUCUGCAAAUUUCUUUAAAAAUUAGGUGACAAGGGCAUUAAAGUUAUAUUUUAUUUUCCUGAGAUACAGGUCUGGGAUGUUUUUCAGUUGAUAAUAAAGUUUUCACUCCUGCAAUGAGAUUUAUUCUGAAAUCAUAUCUAACCAUCUUUGCAUAGGAAACAAAUUUGCAUGGUACUCAUCAGCAAAGGUCAUUCUCUGUACAAUAUGGGGACUGGGCCCAUAGUUAUCACCCUUCCAUCUACUGUGUUGAUUCAAAUUCCCCAGAAUUAUUUUACUUAUUCAAAAUACAACUUCAAUAAAUAAAUAAAAUAC